GGCAUCGUAGCUCAGUUGGUUAGAGCGUUGGCCUACUUAAACCUUCCCCUUGCUGGCGUGUGUUCGAAUCCCACCGAGGCCG
This 82-nucleotide transfer RNA is filed under the name Schistocephalus solidus. It matches the Rfam family "tRNA". Rfam says of the family: Transfer RNA (tRNA) molecules are approximately 80 nucleotides in length. Their secondary structure includes four short double-helical elements and three loops (D, anti-codon, and T loops). Lineage: Eukaryota; Metazoa; Platyhelminthes; Cestoda; Diphyllobothriidea; Diphyllobothriidae. The record is from Rfam by way of RNAcentral.